RNAcentral lists this ribosomal RNA (465 nucleotides) under uncultured Klebsiella sp. Its description in RNAcentral is "bacterial SSU rRNA". It matches the Rfam family "Bacterial small subunit ribosomal RNA", at positions 338 to 795 of the family's 1533-position model. Lineage: Bacteria; Pseudomonadati; Pseudomonadota; Gammaproteobacteria; Enterobacterales; Enterobacteriaceae. The record is from RNAcentral.
CCUACGGGCGGCAGCAGUGGGGAAUAUUGCACAAUGGGCGCAAGCCUGAUGCAGCCAUGCCGCGUGUGUGAAGAAGGCCUUCGGGUUGUAAAGCACUUUCAGCGGGGAGGAAGGCGUUAAGGUUAAUAACCUUGUCGAUUGACGUUACCCGCAGAAGAAGCACCGGCUAACUCCGUGCCAGCAGCCGCGGUAAUACGGAGGGUGCAAGCGUUAAUCGGAAUUACUGGGCGUAAAGCGCACGCAGGCGGUCUGUCAAGUCGGAUGUGAAAUCCCCGGGCUCAACCUGGGAACUGCAUUCGAAACUGGCAGGCUAGAGUCUUGUAGAGGGGGGUAGAAUUCCAGGUGUAGCGGUGAAAUGCGUAGAGAUCUGGAGGAAUACCGGGGGCGAAGGCGGCCCCCUGGACAAAGACUGACGCUCAGGUGCGAAAGCGUGGGGAGCAAACAGGAUUAGAUACCCCUGUAGUC